AGAGUUUGAUCAUGGCUCAGGAUGAACGCUAGCUACAGGCUUAACACAUGCAAGUCGAGGGGCAGCAUUUUAGUUUGCUUGCAAACUAAAGAUGGCGACCGGCGCACGGGUGAGUAACACGUAUCCAACCUGCCGAUAACUCGGGGAUAGCCUUUCGAAAGAAAGAUUAAUAUCCGAUAGUAUAUUAAAACCGCAUGGUUUUACUAUUAAAGAAUUUCGGUUAUCGAUGGGGAUGCGUUCCAUUAGUUGUUGGCGGGUAACGGCCACCAAGACUACGAUGGAUAGGGGUUCUGAGNGGAAGGUCCCCUACGAUUGGAACUGAGACACGGUCCAAACUCCUACGGGAGCA
Molecule: ribosomal RNA, 349 nt
Filed under: uncultured bacterium
Lineage: Bacteria
Description: bacterial SSU rRNA
Rfam family: Bacterial small subunit ribosomal RNA
Source: RNAcentral